Cynoglossus semilaevis (tongue sole) is the source of this 4357-nucleotide RNA transcript. It is a transcript of the gene named receptor accessory protein 2, with no coding region annotated. The transcript is spliced from 20 exons. Lineage: Eukaryota; Metazoa; Chordata; Actinopteri; Pleuronectiformes; Cynoglossidae. The record is from RefSeq and is a predicted model, not a curated record.
AUUUAUGUCCAGGCAAAGUAAACGAUUCACAAACAUAUUUCUGUUUGCUCCUUCCUGUAGAUAAAAAUACAACUUCAUAAGAGUGCGGGCCCCUUUAAGAGCCAGCGUCUACAGCAGCAGCAGCUUCAGCUUCACAUCCACAUCAUCCUCUGCUGCUGGUCCACCUGACAGCAGCCAACAGCAGAGCAGAGCAGAGCCGAGCGGCAGACAGGCAGCACCGGCCGCAAACACCUGAUUCGCAUCACCUCAAACGGGCGUCCCGGAGAGGAAUGGCAGGCACUUAGCCUGCCAGCUAACCGAUAACAUUUCCUAAAAGCGGAAGGUGCGCGGUCGCUGCCGGACCAUCAUGGUUUCGUGGAUGAUUUCGAGGAUAGUUGUCCUCGCCUUUGGGACGCUGUACCCGGCGUACUCCUCAUACAAGGCUGUCAAAACGAAGAAUGUGAAGGAAUAUGUGAAGUGGAUGAUGUACUGGAUAGUCUUUGCACUGUUCACCACAGCAGAGACGGCCACAGAUCUGCUGCUAUCGUGGUUUCCAUUUUACUUUGAGUUAAAGAUCGCCUUCGUGAUCUGGCUCCUGUCGCCCUACACCAAGGGUUCCAGUGUCCUCUACCGCAAGUUUGUCCACCCAACACUGUCCAACAAAGAGAGGGAGAUUGAUGAGUAUAUAGCCCAGGCCAAAGACAGGAGUUAUGAGACCAUGAUGAAGUUUGGAAAGCGGGGUCUAAACCUGGCUGCAAAUGCUGCUGUCACUGCAGCUGCAAAGGGACAGGGCGUGCUGUCGGACAAGCUGCGGAGUUUCAGCAUGCAAGACCUGACUCUCAUCAACGCCGACGGUGAGCUGUCUCUGCACACUUCAGAUCCACGCACGAGACGGGAGGCGUCGGACGAUAUGAGCUCAGGGUCCAGCACGCUGCCGCGGGCCAAGAGCUCCUCCGCACGGCAGGCCCGCUCCCUGGCUACCACGUCCGUUGCCGACGACGUGUCAUCCCAACACAGCUCUGACCAAUCAGACACAAGGACUGAACACUCGGAUGACGACAUGAUAGACAAAGCCCCCAAACGUGGGACCGCUGUCAAGGUGACAAAGAAAACCACAACCGCUGCUGUUAAAACUGAGACCCAAACCAAGACGGUCAAGAAACCCGCAAAGAAAAAGACCACGACUGCUAACGCAGAGACGCCACCAUGAGGCCUGCUUUCCCCACCUGACCCAGUCGUUGUCUGACACUGCUGCCACCAUCUCUCCACCCACAGCCUGCAGGCUUUCCAACCUGCUUUGUCUGAACACUAAUGCAUAUCCGUCACAUCUGUGUGUAUAUUUAUAUAUAUAUAUAUUUAUAGAGUUUUUAGCCAAACGUGGCCACUUUCGUUUUAGGAGAGGAGAGAGAGUAUAGUUUAAGUCUUAUAAUUAUCAGUUAGUUAUAAACAGUAUAGUUGUUCUACAUGCAGUAUUUUCUCUUACCAGCAGGAGAAAAUAUUUGAUUUAAAACUGUUUUCCCUUUGUUGUUGGAAGUUGCACACAGGCCACAUGUUCACAUCCUCCUCCUCCUGCUGAUGAUGGUGGCCGUAAAAAAAACACCUUAACAACUGGCAGUCUCUGAAGUGUUACUAGAGUUUAAGAACUUAAAAACAUAAUUAUUUCCAAUUUCUGCUCAGCCCAGCAGUGCUGUUGAUCGGCAUCCGCCUCAUCUCUCUUUACCCUUUUAGUUUUUUUAUGUUAUUCCAAAGGAAGUGGUUUGUUUAGUGUGGGCUUAGAUAUCCUUCACGUAGACAUCACAUCCUUAUUUACCUCUUCCCCCUUCCCUCCCCCAGGUUCCCUAUCCUCCUCAAUCCUGGUGCUUAUAUUCAUUGGACUUUUGUUUGUCUUGUCAGCUGUGCAAACCGAUUCACUUCGACUCGUUGCUGUAAAGGACUGAGGGUGGCGCUGUUACCUAACAAAUACAAUCACAUCACAGUCACAUAAGAGCUGAUGUGAGGCAGCGAGGUAUCUGCUUUUAUUGACGUCCUUUAUAAUCUCUUUGUUCUGUUGUAGAAUGUCUCGGAGUAGCGCCGCACUUUCCACUUACUUUUGCUGUCUAGAAAGUCCUGCAGGUUGGAAAUAUUCAGAGCAAUUUUUUUAUUAUUAUUUAUACCUCCUUCUAUAUAAUAGGAGUAGAGACUGUCAUACCAGUUGUGUUUCUCAACUCGACUGAACUGAAGCUGUUGGAUUUUUCAUUGUUUUCAGUUGCUGGUCUCGACGUGCAUGAUUUAUCUGGACGCGGCAGAUGUGAAAGCUUGAGAAAACUCCCGCACUCAUUACUGCGGUUUGCAGUGUAAUGCUCCCAUGAACCACUAGAGGGUGCCAACCCCAAACUUUUGGCAAAGUCACUAAACUCCACGUAAACUCGUGUAAAUAGAGAACUUGACUGUACAUACAGUAAGAGCUUGCUUGCCUUAUUCAUUCUCUGGUCAGACGAUUUCCUAAUCUUUGGACUUGGAACAAAAAAAAAAACCCUCAGUAAUAAUAAAUCAUAUGUCCUUACGCCAGAGCAAAUGUGAAGACUUAUAGAGUUGGAAUUUGUUUUUAGAAUUUUAACUGUUUUUUUUUUCCUUUUUUCGUUUAGACACAUGAACAUUUGGUCACAAUGGUAAAGACCCACGGGCAAAAAUACGAACCGAUUGUCAGGACUGGAGAUUUGUGUCUUUCAGGUGACGUUUACACAGCCAUGAUACGACUGUGAAUACUGGAGCUACAUCGCAGAUUCAGCUGUGUUUCCCAGAGCAGAACAGAGCAGAGAGACUAUACGGUCAGCCCCGCCUCUCUGUAACCUUUCAACUCAGUGACCCUGCUCAACGUCACACGAUAACAACAAUGGCGGAGACCAUGCUACUUCCGACCGUGUUGGAAAUGCUAAUUCGGCCACAUGGUAGGAGUGCAAACCGCCCAGACGUCGUAUGAGCUGAUACACUACCAACCUUCAACACGCGGUGGAGCUGUCCGCCCAACAAUGAAAGAACGAGGGGGCCAACGUUAGUAACGGAUUUCUAUGCAUUGGUCAAGAAGAAUGAGGAGAAGAAGUAGAUGAAGAAGGAAUACAUCUUUCAUCUGAAAGGGCAGCCACACUGUGUGGACAACAAUUGGCUUUGAGUGAAACCUGGUCUCAUUUAAAUGAAACCCAAAGAUCGACAAACGUGGUCUACGAACUGGGCUGUCAGAAGCUUCCGGGUCACAUCACAUCCCUACUAAGGUCUACCCGCAUCGUCAUCCUUCUUGUGUCAGUGGUCACAAAACCUCGCGCCAACAGCCAGUGUGUCAACGUGACAGGACAGGAAAAGGAAAGGACGUGGAAACCCCACAGAGAUUUAUGAACUUCUUUUGAACCAUCCUUGAGGUGAUGAUGGUCCACAUCAAUCCAAACCCGAACCGACCCGAACUGCUGCCGAACGUUGCAACGUCUCUCCACGGUCAGGAAUCCAAAACCCAGUAAAGAGAACUCAUGUCACAGAGUGGGGAAAACAUGAAAACGCCAUACUGAAAGUUACCACCAGGGGCUGGACCUACUGACUAACUGCUGUAAGCUGCUUCCAUCAGCAGAAGACAUCAUGGCUAAUCAUCUGGUCUCCUCCUGCACGUUAUUCUGACGUUCUUCACACUCCUCUGACAAACUAAGAACUCCUAAUGUUCUCGUCCAGGCAGCUACGGCGUCCUCGUCUCCACACGUCUUUCUUCAAACCCCUGGACGUCGGUGACCCUCCGUCUCCACUGUUGGCCAAAACAUCUUCCGUGUUUCCUGCUCCUCUCCCUCCACUGGGACUGUGUUGUUGGACACCCUGAGGAUACAGGGAGAUGAAAGGGAGCCGGUCUCCUGGGAACUCCAGCCGUUGGACAACAAAGCCCGGCGCUCUCUGGGAAUUCGUCUCUGCAGCGGCAGGCAAACUCUGGGAUGCAGCAUCUCCAGGUGCUGUAUUACCAUAAUGGUUCUUGCAGUGGCGAUGUACUAAGCAGCAGUAUGGAAAUGUAACACGCCACAGUGCACAUUAUCGGAGCUGACUGCAUUAGAUGUCGCCUGUGAAAUGCCACGAACCUCUCGUCGGUCUGUGUCCACCAUUGGCUGAUUCUCCUCGACGUCGUGUGCCGGACAUUUUCAACAGGACUACACAUCUGGACCGCAUGCAGGACAGAAGAAAAACUCGUCCACAGUAAGGUUCACUCCUGCCACCGUUCCCUCCAGUGUUUGAUAUCGUUUGUUCUUCGCUGAUGGAACAAAUCACUGUUUCUUGCAUCAGAAAACACCGGUGAUCCGCCAAGUAACGACAUGUCAUUCGAUGUAUGCACUGCUGGUAUAUUGUUGAUUGACAAUAAAAAACAGUCUUAAGU